GACGAACGCUGGCGGCGUGCCUAAUACAUGCAAGUCGAACGCUGAAGAGAGGAGCUUACUCUUCUUGGAUGAGUUGCGAACGGGUGAGUAACGCGUAGGUAACCUGCCUUGUAGCGGGGGAUAACUAUUGGAAACGAUAGCUAAUACCGCAUAACAAUGGAUGACACAUGUCAUUUAUUUGAACGGGGCAAUUGCUCCACUACAAGAUGGACCUGCGUUGUAUUAGCUAGUAGGUGAGGUAAUGGCUCACCUAGGCGACGAUACAUAGCCGACCUGAGAGGGUGAUCGGCCACACUGGGACUGAGACACGGCCCAGACUCCUACGGGAGGCAGCAGUAGGGAAUCUUCGGCAAUGGGGGCAACCCUGACCGAGCAACGCCGCGUGAGUGAAGAAGGUUUUCGGAUCGUAAAGCACUGUUGGAAGUGAAGAACGGGUGUGAGAGUGGAAAGUGCACACUGUGAGGGUAGAUUACCAGAAAGGGACGGCUAACUACGU
This 496-nucleotide ribosomal RNA is filed under the name uncultured bacterium. RNAcentral describes it as "partial 16S ribosomal RNA". It matches the Rfam family "Bacterial small subunit ribosomal RNA", at positions 28 to 506 of the family's 1533-position model. The record is from RNAcentral.